GAUGAACGCUGGCGGCGUGCCUAAUACAUGCAAGUCGAGCGAACGGACGAGAAGCUUGCUUCUCUGAUGUUAGCGGCGGACGGGUGAGUAACACGUGGAUAACCUACCUAUAAGACUGGGAUAACUUCGGGAAACCGGAGCUAAUACCGGAUGAUAUUUUGAACCGCAUGGUUCAAAAGUGAAAGACGGUCUUGCUGUCACUUAUAGAUGGAUCCGCGCUGCAUUAGCUAGUUGGUAAGGUAACGGCUUACCAGGGCAACGAUGCAUAGCCGACCUGAGAGGGUGAUCGGCCACACUGGAACUGAGACACGGUCCAGACUCCUACGGGAGGCAGCAGUAGGGAAUCUUCCGCAAUGGGCGAAAGCCUGACGGAGCAACGCCGCGUGAGUGAUGAAGGUCUUCGGAUCGUAAAACUCUGUUAUUAGGGAAGAACAUAUGUGUAAGUAACUGUGCACAUCUUGACGGUACCUAAUCAGAAAGCCACGGCUAACUACGUG
RNAcentral lists this ribosomal RNA (497 nucleotides) under uncultured bacterium. RNAcentral's name for it is "partial 16S ribosomal RNA". It matches the Rfam family "Bacterial small subunit ribosomal RNA", at positions 28 to 507 of the family's 1533-position model. The record is from RNAcentral.